UACGUAGGGUUCAAGCGUUAUCCGGAAUCACUGGGCGUAAAGCGUGCGUAGGUGGUUUGUUAAGUGUAUUGCGAAAUCCUGUGGCUCAACCACAUGGACUGUAAUGCAUACUGGCAAACUAGAGGACAUGAGAGGCAAGUGGAAUUACUGGUGUAGCAGUGAAAUGCGUAGAGAUCAGUAGGAACACCAAUGGCGAAGGCAGCUUGCUGGCAUGUAUCUGACGCUAAGGCACGAAAGCGUGGGGAGCGAACAGGAUUAGAU
This 261-nucleotide ribosomal RNA is filed under the name uncultured bacterium. Its description in RNAcentral is "partial 16S ribosomal RNA". It matches the Rfam family "Bacterial small subunit ribosomal RNA", at positions 524 to 783 of the family's 1533-position model. The record is from RNAcentral.